UGGGGAAUCUUGCUCAAUGGGCGCAAGCCUGAAGCAGCAACGCCGCGUGAGGGAUGAAGGCCUUCGGGUUGUAAACCUCUUUCAGCAGGGACGAAAAUGACGGUACCUGCAGAAGAAGCCCCGGCCAACUACGUGCCAGCAGCCGCGGUAAUACGUAGGGGGCGAGCGUUGUCCGGAUUUAUUGGGCGUAAAGAGCUCGUAGGCGGUUCGGUAAGUCGGGUGUGAAAGUCCGAGGCUCAACCUCGGGAAGCCACCCGAUACUGCUAUGACUGGAGUCCGGUAGAGGAGUGUGGAAUUCCUGGUGUAGCGGUGAAAUGCGCAGAUAUCAGGAGGAACACCAAUGGCGAAGGCAGCACUCUGGGCCGGUACUGACGCUGAGGCACGAAAGCAUGGGGAGCAAACAGGAUUAGAUACCCUAGUAGUCCCUGAGCGGGCUGGCAAGGCGCAU
This 448-nucleotide ribosomal RNA is filed under the name uncultured bacterium. Its description in RNAcentral is "bacterial SSU rRNA". It matches the Rfam family "Bacterial small subunit ribosomal RNA", at positions 355 to 825 of the family's 1533-position model. The record is from RNAcentral.